Molecule: unclassified non-coding RNA, 225 nt
Filed under: Hevea brasiliensis (rubber tree)
Lineage: Eukaryota; Viridiplantae; Streptophyta; Magnoliopsida; Malpighiales; Euphorbiaceae
Source: RNAcentral
AGCUUCUAAACAAGUUGAAUAUUAUUAAAUUGGAAUUCAUCUUGUUUAUUAAAUGAGCUUAAACAUGUGGUUGGAGCUCUUGUUUAUAAAUCGAGUUAAAUUAUAAAUUGAGUUGAAUUAAAUCAAGUUUAACUUUUAUCAAGUUGAGUAUCAAACAACCUGCGAUCAGCUUAGUAGGUGUGCACCCCUAACAUUCUCUAAUCGCUUUCCAUGAAGGAAAAGAUA